UGAACAUCGACAUCUUGAACGCAUAUUGCGGUCACAGGCUAGCCUGUGGCCACGUCUGUCCGAGAGUCGGCCUACUCAUUAUCACGACGCCCAAAUUGUCGUGGCUUGGGUUAUGCCAGCUGACGUGAUUUCCCUGGACCUGAUGGAUGGUUGCUUUGUAUUGUACCUCAGGUUUUUGGGUGUCAGAUCUGUGGCGUUUCCCUGAUUUAUCCGAACACAAUUGCAUUGUAUGUGGCAAUGUGGCGCCGGAGUCGUGGCUCAGUGUAUUUGUUGAUCGCGCUCCGUCUGCUACGUUGUGUUAUGGUGCAUAGAAAUGUUCGAAGUUCAAUAAACCCCCGACCUCGGAUCAGGCGUGAUUACCCGCUGAACUUAAGCAUAUCACUAAGCGGAGGAAAAGAAACUAACAAGGAUUCCCUCAGUAACGGCGAGUGAACAGGGAAAAGCCCAGCACCGAAGCCUUUGGUCGUUUGAUCACUAGGCAAUGUGGUGUUUAGGUUGGUUCGCAGGGGCACUGCUCCACUCUGAGUCCAGCAAUGAGUACGGCAGCUUGGACAUGGCCCAUAGAGGGUGAAAGGCCCGUGAGAGUGGAGUUCAGGAAGGACAGUGCCCCUCUGGACCGACCUGGGAGUCGGGUUGUUUGGGAAUGCAGCCCAAAGUGGGUGGUAAACUCCAUCCAAGGCUAAAUACAAGCACGAGUCCGAUAGCGAACAAGUACCGUGAGGGAAAGUUGAAAAGUACUUUGAAGAGAGAGUAAACAGUGCGUGAAACCGCUCAGAGGUAAACGGGUGGAGUUGAACUGCAUACUCCGUGAAUUCAGCCGGUGAGGAUGUUUUGGGCUGGGUCAAGUGGGUUAGACAUCGAGGUAUGCUGAGUUGCAUGUCUCAAUCAAUUUGGUUGGGAUGCACGCUACGCUCACCAUGCGUUGUGCGCCUCGGUUGUUUAUCUGCCCCCUUGCCGGUGCAUUUUCGCGGAGUGAUCACCACGACCGGCGUGGCUGUCCGGCUACUUUGGUCGAACUGGCCUUACAGUGUCCUUUGGGCUUUGUUUGGUCGGGAUGGCAGGUAGCUCGUUUGCUUGCUUCGGCUUGCUUUCGAGUGUAAUCAGCUGACCAGAGUGGGACUGUGCAGUGCGUCGGAGAUGGCGGCUUGUUGUGCGCAUCUGCGUGGCUCAUCUUCCGAGGUUAUCUGGUUUGGUUGCUAUGUUGCCUGUCUCGCCAGGUCGAGUAAUAGCCGGGUAGCUUUUGGUUGGUGGUCGCGUGGGGGCACUUUAAAGGGCCUAAAGUCUGUGGUGUUGUGGUAGACUAUCCACCCGACCCGUCUUGAAACACGGACCAAGGAGAGUAACAUGUGCGCGAGUCAUUGGGUGCUACGAAACCCAAAGGCGCAGUGAAAGUAAAGGAUUGGCUUGUCCAGUCUGAGGUGAGAUCCUGCCGUUUCUCACGCGCGGUACCACUGAGCUUGGAGCGGCAGGCGCAUCACCGGCCCGUCCCAUGAUGUAGACAUGGUCUUGUACUGUGCACCGUCGGGGCGGAGCAUGAGCGUACAUGUUGAGACCCGAAAGAUGGUGAACUAUGCUUGCGCAGGUUGAAGCCAGAGGAAACUCUGGUGGAGGACCGCAGCGAUUCUGACGUGCAAAUCGAUCGUCAAACGUGAGUAUAGGGGCGAAAGACUAAUCGAACCAUCUAGUAGCUGGUUCCCUCCGAAGUUUCCCUC
Molecule: ribosomal RNA, 1712 nt
Filed under: Phyllodistomum centropomi
Lineage: Eukaryota; Metazoa; Platyhelminthes; Trematoda; Plagiorchiida; Gorgoderidae
Description: eukaryotic LSU rRNA
Rfam family: Eukaryotic large subunit ribosomal RNA (bases 337-1712)
Source: RNAcentral